Long non-coding RNA from Harpia harpyja (harpy eagle), 4274 nucleotides. RefSeq lists it as uncharacterized. The transcript is spliced from 3 exons. The record is from RefSeq and is a predicted model, not a curated record. NCBI's taxonomy places the organism in Eukaryota, Metazoa, Chordata, Aves, Accipitriformes, Accipitridae.
UGGUCUUAAAAUAACAUGAAAUAAAGGUAAAUUAUUUUUUUUCUCUGCUAAAUCAGGAGAACCAAAAUCACUUACAAGACUGCUUUGAAUUUUAAAUCACUUCUUUGACCUAUACCAUAAUCACUCCAUAUUUACACAUAUACAGUGGUAGCAUUUGGCUCAGACUGAGUUAAUUAUGACACUGUACUUACUUACUAAUUACUUUCAUUUAAUUCGCAUGUGGCAAAAUAUGAUCUAGAAAACAGUCUUGCUACAGAGCAAUUGCUUGUAAUAAUAAUUUAUUUAUACAUGAUAGUACUUUUGUUUAGUCUUUAAAUCACCGAAAUACAAAUAAAAUAAGUCGGUAGGCCUUAGCAUAUAGCUUCAGUCCCCCACUGCCAGUGUCCUGUGUACUUAAUCCCUUCACUGUUGCUGAUUACACCAGAAAGUGCAGGUACUGUUUGUUAAUUAUGUUUACCUUUCAGAAAAUAACAGCAGCUAAAAGCUAACUCAGCUCCACUGAGAAGAGACUUUUCACAUCGGACUUAUUUUUCAUCUUCUCUUGUUCUGCAUUACUGAAGACCAUGCAGAAAAUUCUGUGGAUUGAAGGGCUGUGGAUGUUUAUUCCUCAUUUAACAGAUUUUUUUUGUUUUGAGAUAUUCUUGAACAUUUUCAAAGCCACCAAAUUGUGGUGUCAAAAUAAUAGGAAUUUCUUUUGUGAGCAAUAGGAAGAAAAACUUUGGUCAUUAAAUUGUUCUUCAUACAGAUGAUUUAUUCAGGACUCUGGCUGCAGUGCACGGCAAGACAGCUUAGGUGCUACAGUGUUGAGCACCAUGACGUUUAAGGGAUUGAGCCCAAGCUUGGUACACGUCAGACAAUUCAAACGUUUUGCCCCCGCCCCCCCGCCACGUAAUGCUAAGAAGGUAAUGUUUGCAAGCUAAGCAAAUUGCAGGAAAAUACAUUAAAAAUGAAAUAACUACAGUGUUUUAAAAUGUCUGUGACAUAGUGAAGAUGACAAAAACCAGAGUUCUGUAAGAGAUUAAAAAUACUGCAGGAAAAAGCCAGUCGACAGUGUAACAAGUCAUAAAGUUCAUUGAGCUAAUAAUUACACUUGUAAAAAAAAAAAAAGUUUCGUUGCUCUCAAGCAGAAAAGCUUAUAGAAAUAAUAUUGUAAUGCCACGGGAGUAUUACUUAUCAAAAGUAUAUGGCAAUAUAUGUGACAAAUACUAUAGUAUAUGGGGGAGCACAAUAGUGUGGUACGUUAUGUUAGAAAAGCCGAUGGUGGGAAUCUGUCCUGGGAAGGUUUUACGUGCUCACAUUUCAUCAGUCUCGGGGAGAAUGGGGUGAUGGGACUAAUGGGAAAUGUCACUGAACAGAAAUAGUAUUGUGCUGAAUGCUUAGCAGAAACAGACCUUCUGUAAGUAAAGGUAAGAGGAUGAGCCCUUCACGUAUGGUAAUUUUACAGGAAAUAAGAAUCUGCAAUAAUUGCCCUAAUAUUAAUUAAACUGCUGUAUGGAAAUCACUUAUUUAUAAUUCUUUACUCUACUGGACACCCAACCAAAACAAUAGUGGCUGCCCAAGUGUUUGUCUCAAUUAGAAGAUAAAAUACCAGCCGUAAGUGGCCUCGGACUUCAAUUGCAUUUGGAGAGAUUGAAAAAUGAGCCUCCCCCAUUACUGCCCAAGGGUUCUGCCAGUCACACAGAGAGAGACACCCACAUUUUAUCCUUCAGAAAGAUGCAGAAGUGUCAGCUGCUCACCGCUCUCUUACCCAUACCUAUCUUCCUUUCUCCUCUCCCCGUUUUAAAAGAUGUUUCCCCUUUCUCACCCAGCGUCCAAUGACUGACUAAGCUGAAACCCGACUCUUCAUGGCAACUUUUCCCUUCAGGGAUUAACGGACAAUUUUCCUUUUUACCCAUUAUUUGCAGGUGUCAAGUGCCUUAUUUCCUGGACAGGCUACGCCAAACAGACCCAGAUUUUUUUGGGCUGUUCUCACAAUGCAGUGAUAGCAGGAUAUUCCCCUCCAUAAGAAGUCUGAGCUUUGGGCUUUACAGGCCUAAAGGUGAAGCAUUAGAGGGGGAGCUGGUAGGACACCUCAGCGAGACUUUGGGAAAUGCUUUCAGGACUGCGGGAAGCCCAGUUUGUUCUGUGCAAGAGUAAGACUGAUAAGAUCUUCUAAACAACCAACCUUGCUUCCUAAUACUUCCUAGUUACCAGAAGGGAUAAGACAGCCUGUUUUGCAUGCAGCGGUUCUACAGUACAUACUACUACCACUACUAAUUGUUACAGGAAUCAUUUCUUUAUGGCACAUUGACUAUAUGUAUGUACGUUUUUUCUAUAUAUUACAGUUAGGCAAUAUUGAGAGUCAAUGGCCAUUGUGACCAUUAAGUAAAACCUGUACCUCAUCACAGCGGAAACCGGACCCCUCAUACUCCCUUGAAAGCAGUUCUGUUUGGGUAACCAAAAUGAAUUUUUUUGUAUCGUCUGAAGAUGUCUAAGCCAUGCUAAAUAGCCUCAUAAAUGCUUUGGGUAAUGAAAAAAAAAAAAAAGUAUUUGAAGGGAAAAUUCCCUUAUAUGGUCCAAAAACAUAAACCAAAGCUUCGUAUGUGAAUAAUUGUAAACUCACCAAAGAUAAGUUUAAUACUUUAUUUCUGACUCAUAAUUCCUUAUAAGAACCUGAACUGAAAUCACUGAAAUACUAAAAUAUUUCUAAUGUAAAUCUGAUAACCUUGUCUGGCAUGCAGUUAUUUCUGCUGUUUCUUUAAAUGAAUACUUAUUAAAAGCUGCAGAAAUUACAGGUUUCUGGUAGAAUCCUAGUCAGGUGAGAUAUUUUAAAAAAACAUCUAAGUGACAAGGUCCUUCCCAACAGCUGGUAGUGUAAUUUGAGAUAAGGAGCAAGUAGUGAAGAUGACAAAGAGAGGAGGAGACAGGCAAAAUUAAAGAUACUUAAAAGUCAUGUAAUUUCAGAGGUUGCUUAUAAUUCUGAGUGUGCAAGCUUUGCAGAAACUUUUAGACAGCAGAGACACAUUUCUUCCUGAAUGCCAUACUUUGAGCUUACCUUCUUACUUCACAUUCUUUAUCUUAUCGUAAUAAUUUUGCAAAACGCUUAUUACUAAAACAAACAAACAAAAAGCAGCAAAUACCUUCUCAUAUGAGGCUGACCAGAGGGUGACCAAGGGCUGCGGCCUCUUUGAUUUACAGCUUGAACCAUCAGCCUGCCUGUGCAACUUACUCUGCCCUGUUAGGAUGAUGGAGAGUAGAAACAUUAAAAUACGUAAAGCAUAUAAUAUUAAUAAAUGUUCAACCUGAUCUCUUCGGUUUUGCCCACCUGUUACAGAGUCUGUAAUACAAUCUCUUUUUUCACUAAGUCAUUGAAAAACAUUUGUCAACAUACCUUCUGAUACUAAACUAUUUUGUCAGCUUCCCAUCGAACACAGAACAGACUGGAAUAAUUGUGACUAUAACACAGUCAUGGUUAAAAUGUUCCACCUGGAAGUUUUUCGUUAAAAAAAGAUUAUUAGUACCACUAGCAAUUAAAUCCUUAAACCAGUAUAUUGACUAAGUCAUUGAUGUGGGUGGGAGGUUUCUCUGUGUCUGGCAAGUGGACAGAAAGACUAGUUCAAGAUCAGUCACUCUUGAAAAUGGCACUUGGAAAGUGUUGAAAGUUAACAACAGAGCUUCUGCCUCCAAAGUGCAUUGAUCCACUUGACCUGGUGGGGCCACAGCUCAAAGAAAAAAAUCCAUGCAUGUACAAAGCAAACCAAUUGUACAAGUACUUAAAGGCUCCUCUCAGAAGAGCGAGCCUGGUUUGGGGGUAUGAAUCCGCACCAAAGCACACAACUGCACUGCUGGACGUUGGAGAUGGUUCAGCAGUCUUAGGUUAUUUUCGGUGAAUGAUGAAGCUUUGAAUAAAACAUGGGAUCUGUUGUAUUUAAUCCCUGGGGUUUGUUUUGCUUUGUUUCUUAUGUCAAAAUAAACUAUUUUGGUUUUUAAAAGACAGGUGUUCCACCACAAGCACUAGAGGUAACAAAUUUGGGAUGGGACUGCCUACAGCCAGAACUGCUGACAUCCAGGACUCCGCUGAAUUCACCAUUGUGAUUCUACUUGAAGGCCUGGUCUUGGCAAGAUAUUUGGUGCUACAGAAGAAAAUAAUUCAUUAUAUCCCUGAAGUUAUGUUACUGCCUUGGUUUCUCAUGUGCAAAUGUUUCCCCUCAAUUUGCUGUGCUGUAGGAAAAGUGGAUUGAAAAAGUUACUUCAAUAGGAUGCGUGAACUGUAAAUUUAAGUGAUGUCCAAUGCG